AUAAAGAUAUAAAAAAUACUUUGUAUAAAAUAUUAUGGUUGAGCACUAAAAAUAAUUGGUAUUAUCUACUAUGAUAUGUUACUUCAUGAACUUCAAUGUAUUAAAAUGCCAAGUUUCUUUUCUGUAAUGAAAGUCAGUUGCCACUGCAAUCAACUGACAAUAAGUUUUUAUAUAUUCAAUAUAUUAAAUAUAUAACAAAAAAACAGAUUAAUAAUAGUGACUGUUGUUACACUCCCAAUAAAAAAUCCUCUUUUGCAUGAUUUUAUAUGUACUUUUUAAUUGGUUUUGUUAAAUUAUAAAUAACCUUAUAAUUGUAGUUACAGCUGCCAUGUUGGUUUCAGGUAGUUUGCAGGGUCACUGAACAGACUUGGGCUGUUCAAUAAAGUUUUUAUAAGAAUUCUUUGACUGUUUUAUAAAUUUUUCUGUGUCAUUUUGGUCUCUUAUGGAGAGUUGUCUCAUCGGCAAUCAUACCACAUCUUCUUUUUUAUAUUGAUAAUGUUCUUUAUGAAUCACUGACAGUUUAUAAUGUAUUCAAAUUUAUUUAGUGAUUUAAAAAAUUGUUCACCCCAGAUAGACAACAGAGAUAAGCUGAUGGCAAUAACUCAUGAGGUCCUGUUCUUGAUAUUUUAUUGACAAACACACUAACUGUGGUGUAAAAAAUUAACAUGUGUAUACACAGUGUACAUGUGUAAAAAUAAUAAUACUCUUAACACUUAAAUGAAGAAUAAUUACUUAUUUUAACCUUGUUACAAGUAAAACAUAUUAAAAAAGCCUUACUAUAUAGAUCAUCUAUAUACUUAAUAUUUUCUUGGCACAAUAACUGUUAAAUCAAAAAUCAACAAAUUCUUAUAAAGCUGCAACACAUACUUUUUGAAUCACCCAGGCUGGUCUGUGUAAAACAGGCAUGGGGUAAUCAUAAUCAGGAUCAGCUGUAAUCGAUUACAUUUUGCAGUGUAAUACUAUGUAAUCAGUAAUCAUGCCAUUUCUGAUUACAAGUAAUCAUAAUGUAAUCAAUUACAUGGCAAAAAA
Molecule: long non-coding RNA, 1029 nt
Filed under: Mytilus galloprovincialis (Mediterranean mussel)
Lineage: Eukaryota; Metazoa; Mollusca; Bivalvia; Mytilida; Mytilidae
Source: RNAcentral